Molecule: ribosomal RNA, 253 nt
Filed under: uncultured bacterium
Lineage: Bacteria
Description: partial 16S ribosomal RNA
Rfam family: Bacterial small subunit ribosomal RNA
Source: RNAcentral
UACGGGGGGGGCAAGCGUUGUUCGGAAUUACUGGGCGUAAAGGGCUCGUAGGUGGCCAACUAAGUCAGACGUGAAAUCCCCAGGCUCAACUUGGGAACUGCGUCUGAUACUGGAUGGCUUGGAUUCGGGAGAGGGAUGCAGAAUUCCAGGUGUAGCGGUGAAAUGCGUAGAUAUCAGGAGGAACACCGGUGGCGAAGGCGGCUUGCUGGGCCAGUUCUGACGCUGAGGAGCGAAAGCGUGGGGAGCGAACAGG